This 75-nucleotide transfer RNA is filed under the name Oxalobacteraceae bacterium. Its description in RNAcentral is "tRNA-His". It matches the Rfam family "tRNA". From Rfam's summary of the family: Transfer RNA (tRNA) molecules are approximately 80 nucleotides in length. Their secondary structure includes four short double-helical elements and three loops (D, anti-codon, and T loops). Lineage: Bacteria; Pseudomonadati; Pseudomonadota; Betaproteobacteria; Burkholderiales; Oxalobacteraceae. The record is from RNAcentral.
GUGGCUGUAGUUCAGUGGUAGAACGCUUCCCUGUGACGGAAGAUGUCGCCGGUUCGACCCCGGUCAGCCACCCCA